RNA transcript from Plodia interpunctella (Indianmeal moth), 4103 nucleotides. It is a transcript of the gene named fork head domain-containing protein crocodile-like, with no coding region annotated. NCBI's taxonomy places the organism in Eukaryota, Metazoa, Arthropoda, Insecta, Lepidoptera, Pyralidae. The transcript is spliced from 4 exons. The record is from RefSeq and is a predicted model, not a curated record.
UAGCGUCCGCUAUGUAAACGGGCCUUGUUGUGAAUCCAAACAAAAUCAGUCAGUCGUAAUUUUGUUGCCGUAAGAGCAACGCGUCGAGGAUUUCGCGCUCGCGCUCGGAGCAUGUUGGUUCAGUGAACGUGGACAGGCACCAUGCACGCGUUGUUCGGCGAACAGAGCCCGUAUGCGUACCGCGGAGGAGCCGCCGGCGGCUACUCGGCCGGGGUCACCCCCUAUGCCUACGAGCAGUACCGGUACGGCUACGGCGCGCCCUACCUCCACCCGCAUCAACAGCACGUCGGUGCGCCCAAGGAUAUGGUCAAACCGCCCUACUCCUAUAUAGCGCUUAUAGCCAUGGCCAUACAGAAUGCGCCUGAUAGGAGAAUAACUCUUAAUGGCAUUUAUCAGUUCAUAAUGGAACGUUUCCCAUACUAUAGAGAGAAUAAACAAGGCUGGCAAAAUUCAAUCAGACACAAUUUAAGCCUAAACGAGUGCUUCGUGAAAGUGGCGCGGGACGAUAAAAAACCCGGUAAAGGAAGUUAUUGGACGCUCGACCCAGACUCAUAUAAUAUGUUUGACAAUGGCUCUUAUCUGCGGCGACGGCGUCGGUUUAAAAAGAAAGACGCGCUGAAAGAAAAAGAGGAGGCACUAAAAAGACAACAACAGUUGCAACAAGCUCAGGAGGCGUUGGCGGCGCAAGAAGCACUCAGUGCUGCCGACGCCCUCGGGCAGCCACGCGAUGUGAAGCCCGACGUCAAACCUAGAAUAUUUGAGUGUCGACCGAAAAGAGAACCCGGAGCUGAUUGUGCGCGAUACGACAAACCCGUCGAUACAUUAGAAGAAUUUAGUGAUCGGCUGCCUCCUUCAGCGGUCUACUGCUCACCGCAGCCGUAUUCUCUUGCGGCAGAAGAGUUUCGCGCGGCGACCACUGGGUGGUACGCGGCGCCCGAGCCUCCUGCGGAACAGUUGCCGCCGGCAUUCCGGGACCUGUUCGAACCACCUAGUUGUCAGUUAGCCGGCUUCCGGGGAAGUUCCCCCGGCCCGGACGCAUACCGAGCCUCCCCACCGCCUCAUCACCACUAUCGCUCACCAGCGCCAUCUUACUAUCAUCACCAGGCGUGCGUUGCAGCAGCGCCGGCACCCGCUCAUAAGUCUUACUGAGACAUCGCCUUCAGGAGGCCGGCAUCAUACGGCGCCGAACGGAUUUAGCCGCCGCGUCAGUUCCAGCGUGGAUAAAUAUAGCGCAGUAGCCGGCGAUGCCGCGGAGGCAAGUGGUGGCGCGUCGAUAACCACUGUUUACAGAUCGGCGGUCGACUCUGCCGCCUCCCGCGCCGUUAACACCUAUAGAAUUUCAAGAAGUGGGCCCUCAGACCACACGCACAUCUUUAUCCACCCAUAAGGGUGAUGGCUGAUGAUGAUCAAAUUUAUAUGUUUGACGGGAUAAAGAUAAAGCGGGGGGCGGACCGCGAACAGAGUCUGGAAUACCACGAGUUUCACUAAGAGACAGGUAAACCUACUGCGUAGGUACGUUGAACUGACUUGUGGACACCUUCCAAAGAACAUUCACGUAACACUAUCUAAUCUCUAUAUGGCGAUGCUUCAUAGUGCCCGAAGACUUUUUAUUAGCAUGUAAAUUCGUUCAAAGUGGACCUGUAGAUAAGAAUUAUAAUGCCAUGUCCUCUGACGUUAUGGUACCAGCGAAUUUAGAUAGUAUUGUAAAUUCAGUGGAAUAUUAUGAUAAUGUAAAUAUAAUUAUCUAGUUAAAUAUAAAAUGUUGGUUUUUGCUGAGCUUCAUCUAAACAUAUCCAGAAUUCGAUCGGAGGUUACUAAAUAGCUAUGUUAUUUGUCACAUUGUCUUUUUAGGAAGAAACUAGGAAAAUAUUGGUAGUAAAUCUGUGUGGAACGAAUAGUUUACGACAUACAUUUUUAAGCAAAUUAUCAAGAUAACUGUUCUCCAUGGGUAAGUCCCUCCAUAUAUUAGAUAUCCAUUUAGUUGAAGCUCAGCUGACCGACAUAUAUCGGCAUAGUGUGUGCGUUAGUGGAUUCCGUUGUUUGUCACUACUGUGCACUGGACAACCUCGAUAGAUUGUCAAUCAUAAUGAACUCGAUAUUCUAGUCUCCUAUUGUAUUAUUACAUGAAAUAUAUACGAGCCUACAUAUGAUAGCUAUUGAUAUAUUGCCGCGCGAAUUAACUUAUUAUCUACCUUCGUAAUAAUCAAUUUUCAAUACUUCAGAUUAGGACCAAUGACAGAUUAAUGUGAAUUCUUAUAUUUAGAAACUUGUUUGAUAUCGUUUCUAAGAAAUCAUGAAAAUGUACUUCUAACAAUAACAUCGCUGUGUGAGUCUCAUGACGAUUUAAACAGGUACUUAUCUAGAUAGGUAAUAUAAUAUUAUUUGGUAGUCCGUAUGCACUAAACAAUCGAAUUCUGAAUUUGUUGAUUGGUUCUUAAGUAAAUAAAAAUUAGAUAAAAAAAUGUCAUUCCAAAGUCAUACUUCUACCUACUUAUUCAAACUAAUUAUGUACCUCUAUUUGUUUAAAUGAAAGUUGUAACAUGUACCUGGUCGAAUUUCCGAGCGUUAUGGCCGCUGCGGCCGCGCGUCUUUGACAAUUUUUAAAAUUUUAAUAAAAAUAAGAAUCACUUUUACUAUCUGACUUUAAAAUCUUUAUAUUUAUGAAUGAUUGAUUUUGGAAAUGAUUACCUUCCUCAAGAAUAUUGACGGAUCAUAAUGACGGUGCGGCGGCAGCGGUCGAAACGCUCGGAUAUUCACCCACCUAUUAGUGAAUAAUAGGUAAUAUUAAAUGUACGUUUUAAUCACACUAUUAUUAAGCACGUUAGACUAAAUUAUUGGACUAGCUAGUAGUGUUUGUGAGUUAUGGGAUAUUAACACUUUGAUAUAAAGUUGUUAUAAAUAGUCAUAGUCACAUGAUAUUAUUAAAAUUAUUACAAAUUGUAACAAUGUCCCAAAUGAGGUAUUAAUAGCGAUCAAUGUGUAUUAUAGACAUAUAUAUAUAUAUAUAUUUCGCAUAUUUUUUAUUUAUAAUAAGAUUAAAUUUAUAUUUCAUUUCUCUUCAUACAUUUUAGCUUUUAACGCACAUACUUUGAUGUUAAAUGCUUUAGAUACAUCAAUUUUUUAAUGUAAAACGUAGUAAUAAGAUAAAACAGACUAAUGCUGUGUAAGAACAUUAGUUGCUACUAAAAACCAGUGGAAACUUUUGCAUUACGAAGAGAAAUAACAGUUGAUUAUUUUUAAUAAUCAUUACAUUCACGAGUCACGAAGAGAGAUUGCUCGUUGAAGGACACGGAGAUUCUCAAUGUUUUUUAAAUCACAAUAAUUGUAAGCAAAAAUAUAGCUGCGCUUGCCAAUCAUAAAUAUAUUAUGACAUUAAAAAAAAUUAAAUAAAUAUACACCCUACCUUGAGAGAUCUUUAUCUCUCAACUUGAUAAAUCUGAUGCAGUCAAAUUAUGAGUACUUAGGCAUCACGUCAUUUUAAAAUCAAUAAACUAAAUAAAUAUUUAUUCAUUAAAACUCUUUCGAAUGCAGAAUCAUUGUUUCAUUGAAAUAAAAUUAUUUUCUAAUUACAAUCUGAAUGUUCAUUUAACAUUUAUAUGAUUAGUUCGUGAUGUUUGUUAACUUCACAUUUAUACAUAAAUAGUUUCCAGUCCUAUUAUAUAAUCCUUCAAACUGAAGUAACCCAACACUUUAUCGGAUUUAUUAAAAUGUGUAGAUAAUUUUCCAAGUUUUUUUUUAUAUUCCUUAUAUUCAUUAUAAGUAAACUUAAAAAAAACUAAUGAAAUAAAUAUUAUUAUUACAAAAUAUGAUUUAAUUGGGAAAUUGACAAUCGUCCGAUUGUUUUCGGAAGCGGAAAGAUUUUCAUUCGAAUAAACUUUAUACUAAAUGAAUCUAAAUCGAAAAAAAUAAUCGAUAAGGCAUGACUAACAUACAAAUAUAAAUACAACGUACUUACCAACAACUUUUCAUUUAAACAUUUCUCGGCAAAAUGUUAAUAUUUGUAAUUUUUUUGAUGACUUGUUAGCUAAUAACUUUGUGAUAAUUAUCGUAAUUGUGUGUAUAUAAAUGUAUUUAAACAAUAAAUGUUUAUUUGUAUCUAGCAU